Molecule: ribosomal RNA, 566 nt
Filed under: Salmonella enterica subsp. enterica serovar Enteritidis
Lineage: Bacteria; Pseudomonadati; Pseudomonadota; Gammaproteobacteria; Enterobacterales; Enterobacteriaceae
Description: partial 23S ribosomal RNA
Rfam family: Bacterial large subunit ribosomal RNA
Source: RNAcentral
CCGGAGGGAAACCGAGUCUUAAUUGGGCGUUAAGUUGCAGGGUAUAGACCCGAAACCCGGUGAUCUAGCCAUGGGCAGGUUGAAGGUUGGGUAACACUAACUGGAGGACCGAACCGACUAAUGUUGAAAAAUUAGCGGAUGACCUGUGGCUGGGGGUGAAAGGCCAAUCAAACCGGGAGAUAGCUGGUUCUCCCCGAAAGCUAUUUAGGUAGCGCCUCGUGAAUUCAUCUCCGGGGGUAGAGCACUGUUUCGGCUAGGGGGCCAUCCCGGCUUACCAACCCGAUGCAAACUGCGAAUACCGGAGAAUGUUAUCACGGGAGACACACGGCGGGUGCUAACGUCCGUCGUGAAGAGGGAAACAACCCAGACCGCCAGCUAAGGUCCCAAAGUCAUGGUUAAGUGGGAAACGAUGUGGGAAGGCCCAGACAGCCAGGAUGUUGGCUUAGAAGCAGCCAUCAUUUAAAGAAAGCGUAAUAGCUCACUGGUCGAGUCGGCCUGCGCGGAAGAUGUAACGGGGCUAAACCAUGCACCGAAGCUGCGGCAGCGACACUGUGUGUUGUUGGGUA